RNAcentral lists this ribosomal RNA (467 nucleotides) under uncultured bacterium. RNAcentral describes it as "partial 16S ribosomal RNA". It matches the Rfam family "Bacterial small subunit ribosomal RNA", at positions 28 to 507 of the family's 1533-position model. The record is from RNAcentral.
GACGAACGCUGGCGGCGUGCUUAACACAUGCAAGUCGAACGGAAGGGCCCUGCUUUUGUGGGGUGCUCGAGUGGCGAACGGGUGAGUAACACGUGAGUAACCUGCCCUUGACUUUGGGAUAACUUCAGGAAACUGGGGCUAAUACCGGAUAGGAGCUCCUGCUGCAUGGUGGGGGUUGGAAAGUUUCGGCGGUUGGGAUGGACUCGCGGCUUAUCAGCUUGUUGGUGGGGUAGUGGCUUACCAAGGCUUUGACGGGUAGCCGGCCUGAGAGGGUGACCGGCCACAUUGGGACUGAGAUACGGCCCAGACUCCUACGGGAGGCAGCAGUGGGGAAUAUUGCACAAUGGGCGGAAGCCUGAUGCAGCAACGCCGCGUGCGGGAUGACGGCCUUCGGGUUGUAAACCGCUUUCGCCUGUGACGAAGCGUGAGUGACGGUAAUGGGUAAAGAAGCACCGGCUAACUACGUG